Gopherus flavomarginatus (Mexican gopher tortoise) is the source of this 487-nucleotide long non-coding RNA. RefSeq lists it as uncharacterized. The record is from RefSeq and is a predicted model, not a curated record. NCBI's taxonomy places the organism in Eukaryota, Metazoa, Chordata, Testudines, Testudinidae. The transcript has 2 exons.
UCUGGGCCUCUGCUAUUUGUCAUGGAAGCACACUUGCAACUUCUACUAAAUAAUCCAUAAUUGUUAGACUAUGGUGGGAGAUACGUAUCUUUCAGCUAAAAGAAAAUUUUUUAAAUUGCCCAAUGCAGACUCAGUAUCACCUUUUUGGAAAUCCAUUUCACAAUCAAAAUGGAUGUUGAAGUACUUCAGCAACACUGAAGGAUUUAUGUGAACAAAAUGGCUGUUUGAGGUUUGCUUUUGUGCUCAAGAAGGAGAAGAUGGAGUGAGGGGAGAGGAUGUCUUCUGUACCUGGGUUUCUUUUAUGCCAAAGCAAUGAAUGUCUUAAUGUCUUAAUCUGUGUGACCUUGGACAAUUGACUUGACCUCUCUGUUUCUAGGUAUCACCAUAUAUAAAACAGAGAUACUCAAUUACCUGAGUCCCAUCUCAACAAUCCUGUUAAUGUAAAAUAGUCUUCUGUGAAGCACCAAAAUAAAUUCUUAAACAUGAA